GGAUGUGAGGUUGAUCUGCCUGCAACAUCUGUCACCCCAUUGAUUGCCAGCAUUGAUCCGGCUGAUCUGGCUGGCUAGGCUGGUGUCCCCAUGUUCCCUCACGGCUCCAUGUGUGUCCCUCCUGAAGCUGCGCGAUCGGUCGAAGAGGAUGUCCUUGCCCGAAUAGAGACAGACCGGUCUUCGGUCAAGGGUAUAUGAGUAGCUGCGCUCCCCUGACGAACCUCCAAACAAGCUCUCAAGAACAGCACCUCUCCCUGGGUACUGGAAAUGACUGUUUCCCUGCCAGCUCGGGUGGCAGAACUACAUGCAACUGACAGUGU
This 320-nucleotide small nuclear RNA is filed under the name Erinaceus europaeus (western European hedgehog). RNAcentral describes it as "7SK RNA (ENSEEUG00000020689.1)". The stretch from base 1 to 286 matches the Rfam family "7SK RNA". From Rfam's summary of the family: 7SK was discovered as an abundant small nuclear RNA in the mid-70s but a possible function has only recently been suggested. Two independent studies have found that 7SK RNA binds the CDK9/cyclin T complex (known as elongation factor P-TEFb). P-TEFb activates transcription by phosphorylating the C-terminal domain of RNA polymerase II. The record is from RNAcentral. Lineage: Eukaryota; Metazoa; Chordata; Mammalia; Eulipotyphla; Erinaceidae.